Molecule: long non-coding RNA, 842 nt
Organism: Microplitis mediator
Lineage: Eukaryota; Metazoa; Arthropoda; Insecta; Hymenoptera; Braconidae
Exons: 3
Source: RefSeq, a predicted model, not a curated record
UAUAGAUAAUAAUAAUAAGUGAAAACAAUCUCUUUCUUUACAGCUUAGCUCCUGUACAUUUUUUUUCUCUCUUGGUAUACAUAUACAUAAAUAUCAGUACCAUCCCUGGACCCUGAUUAAGAAAAAUAAUUUAAUCCAUGCCAAGUGUAUAUCUACAUAUUAGUCGAUUCAAAUUGUUUUAAAUAAUUUAAAAUUGUUUUGAAUCAUUUCAAAUAAUUUUUCUCAAUCAGGGAUAUCAAGUAUAGUAUUUUGGACCACAAAGAGUCAAAGAGGAAAGCAGAAAGUAAAGUAAUAGAGCAUCGAGUAUAAUGUAUUUGUCUAAUAUGUACACCGCAGUCCAGCCCAGUCCUAUAAGAGAAAGAGAGAGAGCGAGAAUUGCAGAGUGUAAAAGAGCAUGUAUGUAGUGAUUCCUCUUGAUUCGCAUUCACGUUCGCGUUAGCGAGCGCAAGGCCGUCACGCCGUCUAUCUGUUGACACUCUGACUACUAUCAUACUGCCUAUAGGGAAGAACAAUUAAAAUUUCGACCUAUAUAUUACGUGACCUUGUCCGGUCACCUGCUAGGGUCACGUCAAUCGUCAAUCUUACUUGUGGUCAGGAGUGAGAUGUAUGUAGUGUGUUGAUUAAAUGUAUAUGUAUAUAUGUAUAAAGUGAAAUGGAAAGAGAGAUCGACGAUCGAGUCAAAAGGGAUCAGUGAAAUUUAGCCAUCUUGCGUCGGGACAUCGCACUUACGUCCAUCUGAUCUCAUUCGCCAAUCACAGUAACAACCGCGAUGAUUACAAUCACGCAAGUCAACUUAUAUUAUUAUAUAUGUAUACACAUUUAUAUGUAAUAUAGAUAUAUAU